GGGGGAAUAUUGCACAAUGGGGGAAACCCUGAUGCAGCCAUGCCGCGUGUGUGAAGAAGGCCUUCGGGUUGUAAAGCACUUUCAGUUGUGAGGAAAGGUUAGUAGUUAAUACCUGCUAGCUGUGACGUUAACAACCGAAGAAGCACCGGCUAACUCCGUGCCAGCAGCCGCGGUAAUACUGGAGGGUGCGAGCGUUAAUCGGAAUUACUGGGCGUAAAGCGCACGCAGGCGGUUUGUUAAGCUAGAUGUGAAAGCCCCGGGCUCAACCUGGGAAUAGCAUUUAGAACUGGCWGGCUAGAGUCUUGGAGAGGGGAGUGGWAUUCCAGGUGUAGCGGUGUAAUGCGUAUAUA
RNAcentral lists this ribosomal RNA (350 nucleotides) under uncultured Gammaproteobacteria bacterium. Its description in RNAcentral is "bacterial SSU rRNA". It matches the Rfam family "Bacterial small subunit ribosomal RNA", at positions 355 to 696 of the family's 1533-position model. Lineage: Bacteria; Pseudomonadati; Pseudomonadota; Gammaproteobacteria. The record is from RNAcentral.